AAAUGGAUAGAGGCAUCUUUUAGAGUAGACGCUUUGUAUGAUACUCUCAAUUUACACUUUUGUGUAUAUGGGAUAGUUUGGUAAUUAUAAGUCUCAAAAAUGUGGAUGCCGUUAGACUCAAAAUUGAACUACUGGGUAUUUAUCUUAAAUAAUUUGGAAUGUGGGCAAAGAUUAAAGAUUAAUAGCAAUAUAGUAGCUAAUGCUUUUUAACCUCCUAGUGGCCAGGCACGGUGGCUCACGCUUGUAAUCCCAGCACUUUGGGAGGCUGAGGCGGGCGGAUCACUUGAGGUCAGGAGUUUGAGACCAGCCUGGCCAACAUGGUGAAACCCUGUCUCUACUAAAAAUACAAAAAUUAGCCGGGUGUGGUGGCACACGGCUGUAAUCCCAGCUACUUGGGAGGCUGUGGCAUUGCUCGAACCUGAGAAGCGGAGGUUGCAGUGAGCUGAGAUGUCACGCCACUGCCCUCCAGCCUAAGCCAUAGAAUUAAUAAGCAAUUAAUAAGCUCCUAGUUAGUGCUUUAUAUGUAUUGUAUCAUUUAAAAUGUAGGCACCACUAUUAUCCCAUUUAACACAUGAGAAACCCAAGGCUCAAAGAAGUUAAACUCAUCUCUUGGUUUUAGUACUGAGUUCCAUGUCCCAGGAAACUCCGCAGUCCUGAGCAAAUGGAAUGGCUGGUCACCUGUUCCUGCUCUGGUGGGCACUCUCAUCUCAUGCGCUCCACUCAGGCUGUCUCUGAGCCAACGCAGUGCCAAUCUUUCCAGGUGAAUACAAGACAACCAGCCCUCCCUGCAAUUGGCUGAGCUAGUGUAUUGGUAAUACGGGCCGAAGACUGUGAUCUCUUUCUAGAAACACCUGGCUGGUGACAGACACACAGGAAGAAAAAUGGAAUAAACACAACUCGCUUUCCGUCAAGUUCUGGUGGGGGCCACCCUCACCACUUCAACCGAGAAGACACAGUUUCCUCCCAGAAAGUUCUGGGGGGUAGAGGAUUGACUAUCCUGGACCUUGGAACCACUGGCUACCUUGCACCUCUUUCCUGCGCCCUUAAGAAACGUUUCUAUUCCGUUUCCAUUUCCUUUUGGAUAAAUGCCUUGGUUUUAAUGCUAAUGAUUUAACGAAGUUUAGUUCUUUUCCUUACUUAUGGAUGCUUUUGCUCCUUUUAAUUUCUAAUCUUAUUUCCUAAAGCUUUUCCCCAUCUCAGCCCCCACCACAGCAGGAAUAACUUUAUUUAGAAAAAAUGUUGGGGCUGGGCAUGGUGGCUCAUGCCUGUAAUCCCAGCACUUUGGAAGGCCCAGGCGGGCGGAUCAUGAGGUCAGCAGUUCGAGACUAGCCUGGCCAGCAUAGUGAAAUCCUGUCUCUACUAAAAAUACAAAAAAAUUAGCCAGGCAUGGUGGCAGGUGCCUGUAGUCCCAGCUACUUGGGAGGCUGUGGCAGGAGAAUUGCUUGAAGCUGGGAGGUGGAGGUUGCAGUGAGCUGAGACCGUGCCAUUGCACUCUAGCCUGGGUGACAGAGAAAGACUCUGUCUCCCUCUCUCCCUCUCUCUCCCUCUCUCUCCCUCUCUCCCUCUCUCCCUCUCUCCCUCUCUCCCUCUCUCCCUCCAUCUAUCUAUCUAUCUGUCUGUCUGUCUGUCUGUCUGUCUGUCUAAAACUUUCUAAAUGAGUAAGAUCUACUUCACAUCUUUAAACCUUCCCUGUCAGCGGACCUUGUCUUCCAGUUACCGAGAGUGAGGCCACCUGACCUGAUGGCUUUCUUUCUACCCACCUGAAAAUCUCUGUUUUUACCCAUUUCCUCUCCCCUCCUCAUAUCUGAGGAGCAGAAG
This is a long non-coding RNA of Papio anubis (olive baboon), 1818 nucleotides long. The record is from Ensembl. Lineage: Eukaryota; Metazoa; Chordata; Mammalia; Primates; Cercopithecidae.